ACGAACGCUGGCGGCGUGCUUAACACAUGCAAGUCGAACGGUGAAGCGCCUUCCUUUUUGGUGGGUGUGGAUGAGUGGCGAACGGGUGAGUAACACGUGAGUAACCUGCCCCCUUCUUCUGGAUAACCGCAUGAAAGUGUGGCUAAUACGGGAUAUUCUGGGUCUGUCGCAUGAUGGGUCUGGGAAAGAUAUUGUUUCGGUGGGGGAUGGGCUCGCGGCCUAUCAGCUUGUUGGUGGGGUGAUGGCCUACCAAGGCGGUGACGGGUAGCCGGCCUGAGAGGGUGGACGGUCACACUGGGACUGAGACACGGCCCAGACUCCUACGGGAGGCAGCAGUGGGGAAUAUUGCACAAUGGGCGCAAGCCUGAUGCAGCGACGCCGCGUGAGGGAUGGAGGCCUUCGGGUUGUGAACCUCUUUCGCCAGUGAAGCAGGCCUGCCUCGUUUGUGGGUGGGUUGACGGUAGCUGCAUAAGAAGCGCCGGCUAACUACGUG
Molecule: ribosomal RNA, 493 nt
Filed under: uncultured bacterium
Lineage: Bacteria
Description: partial 16S ribosomal RNA
Rfam family: Bacterial small subunit ribosomal RNA
Source: RNAcentral